This is a non-coding RNA of Dryococelus australis, 72 nucleotides long. NCBI's taxonomy places the organism in Eukaryota, Metazoa, Arthropoda, Insecta, Phasmatodea, Phasmatidae. The record is from the annotation of a GenBank genome assembly.
CUUGGUAUGGUCUAGUGGUUAGGUUACCUGGCUUUUACCCAGGAGGAUCGGGUUAUAUUCCUGUUAUUGGGA